GGAAUAUUGCGCAAUGGGGGAAACCCUGACGCAGCAACGCCGCGUGAGUGAGGAAAGCCCUCGGGUCGUAAAGCUCUGUCAAAUAGGAAGAACGGCAUAGAUUCACAUAGGGUUUAUGUUUGACGGUACUAUUAACGGAAGCACCGGCUAACUUCGUGCCAGCAGCCGCGGUAAUACGAAGGGUGCAAUCGUUGUUCGGAUUUAUUGGGCGUAAAGCGCGCGCAGGCGGACAGUUAAGCCAGAUGUGAAAUCUCGGGGCUCAACCCCGAAACUGCGUCUGGAACUGGUUGUCUAGAGUCUCGGAGGGGGAAGGGGAAUUUCGCAUGUAGGGGUAAAAUCCGUAGAGAUGCGAAGGAACUCCAGUGGCGAAGGCGCCUUCCUGGACGAGUACUGACGCUGAGGCGCGAAAGCGUGGGGAGCA
Molecule: ribosomal RNA, 421 nt
Filed under: uncultured bacterium
Lineage: Bacteria
Description: bacterial SSU rRNA
Rfam family: Bacterial small subunit ribosomal RNA
Source: RNAcentral